RNAcentral lists this ribosomal RNA (543 nucleotides) under Phoma sp. SHC-3-W1-3. RNAcentral describes it as "eukaryotic LSU rRNA". The stretch from base 172 to 325 matches the Rfam family "5.8S ribosomal RNA". The record is from RNAcentral. Lineage: Eukaryota; Fungi; Ascomycota; Dothideomycetes; Pleosporales; Didymellaceae.
UCCGUAGGUGAACCUGCGGAAGGAUCAUUACCUAGAGUUGCGGGCUUUGCCUGCCAUCUCUUACCCAUGUCUUUUGAGUACCUUACGUUUCCUCGGCGGGUCCGCCCGCCGACUGGACAAAUUUAAACCACUUGCAGUUGCAAUCAGCGUCUGAAAAAACUUAAUAGUUACAACUUUCAACAACGGAUCUCUUGGUUCUGGCAUCGAUGAAGAACGCAGCGAAAUGCGAUAAGUAGUGUGAAUUGCAGAAUUCAGUGAAUCAUCGAAUCUUUGAACGCACAUUGCGCCCCUUGGUAUUCCAUGGGGCAUGCCUGUUCGAGCGUCAUUUGUACCUUCAAGCCUUGCUUGGUGUUGGGUGUUUGUCUCGCCUUUGCGCGCAGACUCGCCUCAAAACAAUUGGCAGCCGGCGUAUUGAUUUCGGAGCGCAGUACAUCUCGCGCUUUGCACUCAGAACGACGACGUCCAAAAGUACAUUUUUUACACUCUUGACCUCGGAUCAGGUAGGGAUACCCGCUGAACUUAAGCAUAUCAAUAAGCGGAGGA